AUACGUAGGGGGCGAGCGUUAUCCGGAAUUAUUGGGCGUAAAGAGUGCGUAGGUGGCCAUGUAAGCGCGGGGUGAAAGGCAAUAGCUUAACUAUUGUAAGCCUUGCGAACUGUGUGGCUUGAGUGCAGGAGAGGAAAGUGGAAUUCCUAGUGUAGCGGUGAAAUGCGUAGAUAUUAGGAGGAACACCAGUGGCGAAGGCGACUUUCUGGACUGUAACUGACACUGAGGCACGAAAGCGUGGGGAGCAAACAGGAUUAGAUACCCUGGUAGUCCACGCCGUAAACGAUGAGCACUAGGUGUCGGGGUCGCAAGACUUCGGUGCCGCAGUUAACGCAUUAAGUGCUCCGCCUGGGGAGUACGCACGCAAGUGUGA
This 373-nucleotide ribosomal RNA is filed under the name uncultured bacterium. RNAcentral describes it as "bacterial SSU rRNA". It matches the Rfam family "Bacterial small subunit ribosomal RNA", at positions 523 to 897 of the family's 1533-position model. The record is from RNAcentral.